Pygocentrus nattereri (red-bellied piranha) is the source of this 1149-nucleotide long non-coding RNA. RefSeq lists it as uncharacterized. The record is from RefSeq and is a predicted model, not a curated record. Lineage: Eukaryota; Metazoa; Chordata; Actinopteri; Characiformes; Serrasalmidae. The transcript is spliced from 2 exons.
UCUGUGUCCUCGCUAUGGCCCUGGCCCUCCUCGACAGACAACACUUGACCAUGCCCCUGCUGCCACAGGCACCUUCUAGGAUCACUGACUGGAAGAGUUGCAGUGCAUGGGUUCUUGAGGCGAACUGGAACGGAAGUUGGAGCAGGAACAAGCACUUGCCUGGGAGCUGGAGCUGGAGCUGGAGUUGGAACUGGAGCUGGAUCUGGAACUGAAGCUGGGACUGGAACAGGAACUGAUGAUUAGAUGUGUACAGAGAGAACUUCUGCAAGGGUCACUUUUGUAGUAGUUGGACUAGUUGAAUAGAGUGUUCUAUGAGCUAGCCAAGAGUGCUAUGAUGAAUGCUUGUUCAUUCCAACCACUUGUGGCAGCUAGUGUACAAAACUGCAAUGCCUAGGUUGCCACUUAGUGACUGCCUUGUUUUAGCUUGCACUAAAGUUCUCCAUUGGAUCAUCCCUCAUGAGAAUGAUCAAACACAGUUUUAGUCUUUCAGAAAUUGCUCAUAUGAUAAAUCUUGUAAAUGAGACCAUCCAAAGGCCGAGAGUCUAAGGCUUUCUCAGAGAGCCGUGAAACAACAAAAGCAAUCUUAGCCUGGUGUUUACUAGUGGGGGAAUGAAAGUACACAGAGCACUGUAACAGACUGCAUUUAUGAAGGGUUCCAUCAAACCUGUCUGGCUUACUCACAGGGAAUGUAGGGGUCUGACUCAUUGAAACUGGGUUUUUAGCCACGGCAACCUGAGUAGCUGAAGGAGUUGUUGAAGAAACAGUGACGUGUCACAGCUGAGCAGUGAUGUUGUUAAUUACAGCUAAGAGCUGAGAAAAAUGGGCCUGCUGCUUGGCUUGUUGUUGGCUCAAGUUGCCGACUGACAUCAGCCAGCACUUGCUGAUGACAACCCAGGGGCUGACCUUGAUUGCUCAGGACCUUCUGCACAUGUCUGGUACCUGCAUGGCGUCAAAGUAUCCUGUAAUGGUGGCAGAUGGAACCUAGCACUGAAGGUAUCAGCACAGCAAGAUCUGUGUUUUUAAUUGGGAGUGUGGUGCACCCCAAGUAUUACUCUGCAGGGCCACACCUGCUAUGUUCACCAUGCAGCUGUCCUAGCAACUCAAAAAGCCUGAAUAAAGCCUCUGGGGUGUCUCCCUCAUUUUGUGGCC